RNAcentral lists this ribosomal RNA (648 nucleotides) under uncultured bacterium. RNAcentral describes it as "bacterial SSU rRNA". It matches the Rfam family "Bacterial small subunit ribosomal RNA", at positions 76 to 717 of the family's 1533-position model. The record is from RNAcentral.
CAGCUUGCUGCUUCGCUGACGAGUGGCGGACGGGUGAGUAAUGUCUGGGAAACUGCCUGAUGGAGGGGGAUAACUACUGGAAACGGUGGCUAAUACCGCAUAACGUCGCAAGACCAAAGAGGGGGACCUUCGGGCCUCUUGCCAUCAGAUGUGCCCAGAUGGGAUUAGCUUGUUGGUGAGGUAACGGCUCACCAAGGCGACGAUCCCUAGCUGGUCUGAGAGGAUGACCAGCCACACUGGAACUGAGACACGGUCCAGACUCCUACGGGAGGCAGCAGUGGGGAAUAUUGCACAAUGGGCGCAAGCCUGAUGCAGCCAUGCCGCGUGUAUGAAGAAGGCCUUCGGGUUGUAAAGUACUUUCAGCGGGGAGGAAGGUGUUGUGGUUAAUAACCGCAGCAAUUGACGUUACCCGCAGAAGAAGCACCGGCUAACUCCGUGCCAGCAGCCGCGGUAAUACGGAGGGUGCAAGCGUUAAUCGGAAUUACUGGGCGUAAAGCGCACGCAGGCGGUCUGUCAAGUCGGAUGUGAAAUCCCCGGGCUCAACCUGGGAACUGCAUUCGAAACUGGCAGGCUUGAGUCUUGUAGAGGGGGGUAGAAUUCCAGGUGUAGCGGUGAAAUGCGUAGAGAUCUGGAGGAAUACCGGUGGCG